Molecule: small nucleolar RNA, 138 nt
Organism: Tachyglossus aculeatus (Australian echidna)
Lineage: Eukaryota; Metazoa; Chordata; Mammalia; Monotremata; Tachyglossidae
Source: RefSeq, a predicted model, not a curated record
CACCUCUCAGCAUUGCAUCUGGAGAGUUUCCAGUACUCUACCAGUCUGAGCUACGGGAGGGAGAGUCAAGCAGAGGCCUACCCAGUCCAUUCUUAGCUUGGCCAGUGGCUAGUGAGUGGAAGGCAAUUUGCUACACGU